ACCAAAGCCCGCUUAGGCGGGCUU
Molecule: small RNA, 24 nt
Filed under: Paenibacillus sp. P22
Lineage: Bacteria; Bacillati; Bacillota; Bacilli; Caryophanales; Paenibacillaceae
Source: RNAcentral